RNAcentral lists this long non-coding RNA (227 nucleotides) under Mytilus galloprovincialis (Mediterranean mussel). The record is from RNAcentral. Lineage: Eukaryota; Metazoa; Mollusca; Bivalvia; Mytilida; Mytilidae.
AAAGUUUUCCCUGUAGUCAUGCCAAUGUUAUACGAGGGAGUAUUCGUUAUAAUUUUAUGGAAGCUAAAGAAAAACCAGUCGGUGACUUAAUUGUAAAUUUGAUCGUUUAUUAUACGAAUAAUUGGCGUGUUUACUUCAUUUUAGAAACUACAAUAGUAUGAUACGAGUCCCCAGUUAAUCAUUUGCAAAUCAGAGAAGGAACAAAAGACAUUUUUUAAUAUUUAUCG